GUUUCAGGGCUAGCUCAGCUGGUACAGCAUAAGACUCUUAAUCUCAGGGUUGUGGGUUCAAGCCCCACACUGGGCA
RNAcentral lists this transfer RNA (76 nucleotides) under Podarcis lilfordi (Lilford's wall lizard). Its description in RNAcentral is "tRNA.Lys". The stretch from base 11 to 68 matches the Rfam family "tRNA", at positions 8 to 63 of the family's 71-position model. Rfam says of the family: Transfer RNA (tRNA) molecules are approximately 80 nucleotides in length. Their secondary structure includes four short double-helical elements and three loops (D, anti-codon, and T loops). The record is from RNAcentral. Lineage: Eukaryota; Metazoa; Chordata; Lepidosauria; Squamata; Lacertidae.